This 254-nucleotide ribosomal RNA is filed under the name uncultured bacterium. Its description in RNAcentral is "partial 16S ribosomal RNA". It matches the Rfam family "Bacterial small subunit ribosomal RNA", at positions 524 to 776 of the family's 1533-position model. The record is from RNAcentral.
UACGUAGGGGGCAAGCGUUUGUCCGGAUUUAUUGGGCGUAAAGAGCGUGUAGGCGGCCUGAAAGGUCAGCUGUGAAAACUCGAGGCUCAACCUCGAGACGUCGGUUGAAACCAUCUGGCUAGAGUCCGGAAGAGGAGUGUGGAAUUCCCGGUGUAGCGGUGAAAUGCGCAGAUAUCGGGAAGAACACCCGUGGCGAAGGCGGCACUCUGGGACGGUACUGACGCUGAGACGCGAAAGCGUGGGGAGCGAACAGG